GAUGAACGCUGGCGGCGUGCCUAAUACAUGCAAGUCGAGCGAACAGAUGAGGAGCUUGCUCCUCUGACGUUAGCGGCGGACGGGUGAGUAACACGUGGAUAACCUACCUAUAAGACUGGGAUAACUUCGGGAAACCGGAGCUAAUACCGGAUAAUAUAUUGAACCGCAUGGUUCAAUAGUGAAAGACGGUUUUGCUGUCACUUAUAGAUGGAUCCGCGCCGCAUUAGCUAGUUGGUAAGGUAACGGCUUACCAAGGCAACGAUGCGUAGCCGACCUGAAAGGGUGAUCGGCCACACUGGAACUGAGACACGGUCCAGACUCCUACGGGAGGCAGCAGUAGGGAAUCUUCCGCAAUGGGCGAAAGCCUGACGGAGCAACGCCGCGUGAGUGAUGAAGGUCUUCGGAUCGUAAAACUCUGUUAUUAGGGAAGAACAAAUGUGUAAGUAACUAUGCACGUCUUGACGGUACCUAAUCAGAAAGCCACGGCUAACUACGUG
This 497-nucleotide ribosomal RNA is filed under the name uncultured bacterium. Its description in RNAcentral is "partial 16S ribosomal RNA". It matches the Rfam family "Bacterial small subunit ribosomal RNA", at positions 28 to 507 of the family's 1533-position model. The record is from RNAcentral.